Molecule: ribosomal RNA, 425 nt
Filed under: uncultured bacterium
Lineage: Bacteria
Description: bacterial SSU rRNA
Rfam family: Bacterial small subunit ribosomal RNA
Source: RNAcentral
GGGGAAUAUUGGACAAUGGGGGCAACCCUGAUCCAGCAAUACCGCGUGUGUGAAGAAGGCCUUCGGGUUGUAAAGCACUUUAGGCGGGGAAGAAGAUGAUUAGUUUAAGAGAUGAGUCAUUUGACGGUACCCGCAAAAUAAGCACCGGCUAACUCUGUGCCAGCAGCCGCGGUAAUACAGAGGGUGCAAGCGUUAAUCGGAUUUACUGGGCGUAAAGGGCGCGUAGGUGGUUGUUUAAGUGAGUUGUGAAAUCCCCGGGCUUAACCUGGGAACUGCAACUUAUACUGGGCAACUGGAGUGCAAUAGAGGGUAGUGGAAUUUCCGGUGUAGCGGUGAAAUGCGUAGAUAUCGGAAGGAACACCAGUGGCGAAGGCGGCUACCUGGAUUGACACUGACACUGAGGCGCGAGAGCGUGGGGAGCAAAC